Cavia porcellus (domestic guinea pig) is the source of this 71-nucleotide transfer RNA. It matches the Rfam family "tRNA". Rfam says of the family: Transfer RNA (tRNA) molecules are approximately 80 nucleotides in length. Their secondary structure includes four short double-helical elements and three loops (D, anti-codon, and T loops). The record is from Rfam. Lineage: Eukaryota; Metazoa; Chordata; Mammalia; Rodentia; Caviidae.
GGGGAUUUAGCUCAACAGCAUAAGCACCUGCCUUGUAAGCAGGAAGUCGUGGGUUCAACCCCCGGUACUCA